RNAcentral lists this unclassified non-coding RNA (263 nucleotides) under Hevea brasiliensis (rubber tree). The record is from RNAcentral. Lineage: Eukaryota; Viridiplantae; Streptophyta; Magnoliopsida; Malpighiales; Euphorbiaceae.
GGUCGAAUUAGAUCAAAGCCUGGAGGAAAACUUGAGAUGGGGGAGGCCUCUGUGGUGGAAAGGUACGGGAGACCAAUGCCAAAGCUAAGAAACACAGAUAUAAAAUCGAGUAAAUAUGAGGAUCGUCCAGCCCCACCAGGAACUAUAAACGUAGCGCAGAUGCGCCACAUAAUUCUCCUGCAUCAAGGUAAGGCUGAUGAUCAUGAUGGCCCAAUGGGACUUCACCAAAUCGCUGAAAGGUAUAAUGUUAGUGUUGCUCAAAU